This is a small nuclear RNA of Papio anubis (olive baboon), 104 nucleotides long. The record is from Ensembl. NCBI's taxonomy places the organism in Eukaryota, Metazoa, Chordata, Mammalia, Primates, Cercopithecidae.
GUGCUUGCUUCGGCAGCACAUAUGCUAAAAUUAGAAUGAUACAGAGAUUAGCGUGACCCCUGCGCAAGGAUGGCACACAGAUUCGUGAAGCAUUCUUUUUUUUU